UGUGUAUAGUACACCACAAGUGAAGUUAAAACUCACAAGGCGUACAAGAUUUUGAGAGAAAUAAUCAGUUGCUGAGCUAAAAUACAACACUUCCCAUAGUUGUACAACUUUCAGAACAACCUCUUACAAAUCCAUUGCUCAAAUGUUACUAUUUCUAACUGUACGUUUGAACUUCACCCUGCCCUUACCAUAGAUAUACAUUUAUGUUAGCUUCAAAUCUCUGCACCUUCGGUAUGUCCUCGAGAACUCUCUGACAAAAUUGCUUUUCCCUUACUAUCAGAAAUUCCUAAAUCAUCUGCUUUUUUUUGUAUGUUUGGAUGCUCUAAAAGCUUGAGCUGGGUUUGCAGAACCUCAAUUUGUUGCUGUAAAAGUAUCUUAUGGGCCUCAAGUUGAGACGUUGGAAUACCAAGGUUGUUAGCACCUGGAUAUUGAAAAGGGAGAAAACCGGAUUGUGGAUAUUGAGCAAAGGGCAUAUUUGCUAAUUGAUUGUGCGAUGAUUGUUCAUUCAAUGCCCGUUCCCCAUCUGAGAGCACAUUGGCAGAACUGCCCACUGUACUAUAGGAGGGAGGAACUGGAGCAUAUCCAGGAGACCACGCUAGUGUUGGUACAGAAGGAUAAACAUAAGACUUCUGAUAAACUGCUGCUGCUGCUGCAGCAGCUUGGAUUCUAGCUUGGUGCUGGCUAACAUUAUUACUUGGCGUGGUGUUUGCUUGCGAACCCUGAGAUGCACUUGCCGCACUUGAUCCAGGGCCUUGUUGCACAUCUGGUCGUGAUCCUGCCACAUUUGUCCCAUUUUCAGUUGGCACAACAAGGGCUCUGCAGGUAGGACAGGUGUGUUGACGCUCUAGCCAUGAGCGGAGGCAAUGCACAUGAAACAGAUGACCGCAAAUGAGUUUCUUAGCAGUGGUCAUCUCCUCACGACAAAUGAUGCAGGUAGCAUCACUUGCAUUGAG
This 953-nucleotide unclassified non-coding RNA is filed under the name Hevea brasiliensis (rubber tree). The record is from RNAcentral. Lineage: Eukaryota; Viridiplantae; Streptophyta; Magnoliopsida; Malpighiales; Euphorbiaceae.